This 527-nucleotide ribosomal RNA is filed under the name uncultured Ignavibacterium sp. RNAcentral describes it as "bacterial SSU rRNA". It matches the Rfam family "Bacterial small subunit ribosomal RNA", at positions 381 to 906 of the family's 1533-position model. The record is from RNAcentral. Lineage: Bacteria; Pseudomonadati; Ignavibacteriota; Ignavibacteria; Ignavibacteriales; Ignavibacteriaceae.
GUCUGACCCAGCAACGCCGCGUGGAGGAUGAAGGUCGUAAGAUCGUAAACUCCUGUGAGGAGGGAUGAAAGAUAUCAUUUAAGCGAUGAUAGAUGACCGUACCUCCAGAGGAAGCCCCGGCUAACUACGUGCCAGCAGCCGCGGUAAUACGUAGGGGGCAAGCGUUGUCCGGAUUCACUGGGUGUAAAGGGCGCGUAGGCGGAUCAAUAAGUCAGAGGUGAAAGACUGCAGCUUAACUGCAGAACUGCCUUUGAUACUGUUGAUCUUGAGUGCAAGAGAGAGAAGCGGAAUUCCAGGUGUAGUAGUGAAAUACGUAGAUAUCUGGAAGAACACCGGUGGCGAAGGCGGCUUCUUGGCUUGUCACUGACGCUGAGGCGCGAAAGCGUGGGUAGCGAACAGGAUUAGAGACCCUGGUAGUCCACGCUGUAAACGAUGAAUACUAGGUGUCGGAUCGCAAGGUUCGGCGCCGCAGCUAACGCAUUAAGUAUUCCACCUGGGAAGUACGAUCGCAAGGUUGAAACUCAAGG